CUAUACAUGACUCUGCGCAUAUCAAUAAGCGGAGGAAAAGUAAAUGCUGUAUACCUACGCUUAGGAUGUUGAAGAUAUGCGCGACACGACUCUAUACAUGACUCUGUGCAUAUCAAUAAGCGGAGGAAAAGAGGGCUAUUACCUACGCUUAGGAUGUUGAAGAUAUGCGCGACACGGCUCUAUACAUGACUCUGCGCAUAUCAAUAAGCGGAGGAAAAGGCUGCUGAACUGAACGACCGCUACCUACGCUUAGGAUGUUGAAGAUAUGCGCGACACGACUCUAUACAUGACUCUGCGCAUAUCAAUAAGCGGAGGAAAAGAAACUAACUAGGAUUCCCUCAGUAACGGCGAGUGAAGCGGGAAGAGCUCAAAUUUGAAAUCUUCAAGGUUUUACCUUGACGAAUUGUAGUUUAAAGAAGUGUUUUCUGUUGGUGUUUUGGUAAAAGUUCUUUGGAAUAGGACAUCAUAGAGGGUGAGAAUCCCGUAUUUGACCAUUACUUCCAGCGUUGUGAUACACUUUCAAAGAGUCGGAUUGUUUGGGAAUGCAGUCCGAAAUGGGUGGUAAAUUUCAUCUAAAGCUAAAUAUUGGCGAGAGGCCGAUAGCGAACAAGUACCGUGAGGGAAAGAUGAAAAGAACUUUGAAAAGAGAGUUAAACAGUACGUGAAAUUGUCAAAAGGGAAGCGUUUGACACCAGUGUUGUUUUUCCGAAAAUCAAUUACGAAUGUUUUGUUUUUGAGAAGUUAUGACUUCAUCGGCUUGCUUCUCUCUUUACGAAACUUUCUUAAUGCACUUUUCGGUUAACAAGUCAACAUCAAUUUCUUUUGUUGUAAAAGGGUACGAGGAAGGUGGCUUUCUUUUCGGAGAAAGUGUUUAUAGCCUUGUACCUCUGCAAUCGGAGAGAUUGAGGUCUGCAGCGUAGAUCCUUCGGGGUUAGAUACAUUUGUGCUAAGCUAUAGUUCUUUAUAGACAACUUGUUGGCUAUAAUCAAUCCUGUAACUUACUCGCUUAUGCUAUUUUACCUACGCUUAGGAUGUUGAAGAUAUGCGCGACACG
This 1054-nucleotide ribosomal RNA is filed under the name uncultured Neocallimastigales. RNAcentral describes it as "partial large subunit ribosomal RNA". The stretch from base 271 to 1054 matches the Rfam family "Eukaryotic large subunit ribosomal RNA", at positions 1 to 644 of the family's 3401-position model. Lineage: Eukaryota; Fungi; Neocallimastigomycota; Neocallimastigomycetes; Neocallimastigales. The record is from RNAcentral.